AACUUUGCAAUAAGCGAAAGCUUGACAGGGCUAUCCCGAGUGCCAUCCGCUGAGGAAGGCUUUUACCCAGUCUAGAACGCUGGGGGAAUAAGGAGAGGGCAAGUCUGGUGUCAGCCGCCGCGGUAAUACCAGCUCUCCGAGUGGUGUGGAUGUUUAUUGGGCCUAAAGCAUCCGUAGCUGGCUAAGUUAGUCCCUUGUUAAAUCCACCGAAUUAAUCGUUGGAUUGCGGGGGAUACUGCUUGGCUAGGGGACGAGAGAGGCAGACGGUAUUUUCGGGGUAGGGGUGAAAUCCUAUAAUCCCGGGAAGACCACCAGUGGCGAAGGCUGUCUGCUAGAACGCGCCCGACGGUGAGGGAUGAAAGCUGGGGGAGCGAACCGGAUUAGAUACCCGGGUAGUCCCAGCUGUAAACGAUGCAGGCUAGGUGUUUGGACGGCCACGUGCCGUUCUAGUGCCGCAGGGAAGCUGUUAAGCCUGCCGCCUGGGGAGUACGAUCGCAAGAUUGAAACUUAA
Molecule: ribosomal RNA, 511 nt
Filed under: uncultured archaeon
Lineage: Archaea
Description: bacterial SSU rRNA
Rfam family: Archaeal small subunit ribosomal RNA
Source: RNAcentral